UACGUAGGGUGUAAGCGUUAAUCGGAAUUACUGGGCGUAAAGCGUGCGCAGGCGGCUAUGCAAGACAGAUGUGAAAUCCCCGGGCUCAACCUGGGAACUGCAUUUGUGACUGCAUGGCUAGAGUACGGUAGAGGGGGGAUGGAAUUCCGCGUGUAGCAGUGAAAUGCGUAGAUAUGCGGAGGAACACCGAUGGCGAGGCAAUCCCCUGGACCUGUACUGACGCUCAUGCACGAAAGCGUGGG
RNAcentral lists this ribosomal RNA (242 nucleotides) under uncultured bacterium. Its description in RNAcentral is "partial 16S ribosomal RNA". It matches the Rfam family "Bacterial small subunit ribosomal RNA", at positions 524 to 765 of the family's 1533-position model. The record is from RNAcentral.